UACGGAGGGGGCAAGCGUUGUUCGGAAUUACUGGGCGUAAAGGGCGCGUAGGCGGGCAAGCAAGUCCGGGGUGAAAUCUUUCGGCUCAACCGGAAAAGUGCCUUGGAUACUGCUUGUCUGGAGGGAGGUAGGGGCAUGCGGAACUUCUGGUGGAGCGGUGAAAUGCGUUGAUAUCAGAAGGAACGCCGGUGGCGAAAGCGGCGUGCUGGACCUCUUCUGACGCUGAGGCGCGAAAGCUAGGGGAGCAAACGGG
RNAcentral lists this ribosomal RNA (253 nucleotides) under uncultured bacterium. RNAcentral's name for it is "partial 16S ribosomal RNA". It matches the Rfam family "Bacterial small subunit ribosomal RNA", at positions 524 to 776 of the family's 1533-position model. The record is from RNAcentral.